This is a small nucleolar RNA of Ornithorhynchus anatinus (platypus), 138 nucleotides long. NCBI's taxonomy places the organism in Eukaryota, Metazoa, Chordata, Mammalia, Monotremata, Ornithorhynchidae. The record is from RefSeq and is a predicted model, not a curated record.
CCCUUCCCAGGGUCGCACCUGGAGAGUUUCCAGCACUCUACCAGUCUCGACUGCGGGAGGGAGAGACAAGCAGAGGCUUAUCCAUUCCAUCCCUAGCUCAGGCAGUGGCUAGUGAAUAGAAGGCAAUCAGCUACAAGU